GAGCAAGGAGGCCCGACACCCUCCCACUCCGAAGCAGCGACACUCAGGUAGAGAAGAAGGAGGUUGGCCAUAAUGGCUUCCACGCCGGUGCAACCACAGUUCAUUGCAAGCACUGGGAAUAGAAGUUUAUCAAAUGCGCCACUCAUCGAGAAUCCCGAAUCUGAUCAGAUUGUUGUGCCUGAUAGGAAAAGCUGGAAAAA
This is a long non-coding RNA of Vitis vinifera (wine grape), 200 nucleotides long. RefSeq lists it as uncharacterized. The transcript has 2 exons. NCBI's taxonomy places the organism in Eukaryota, Viridiplantae, Streptophyta, Magnoliopsida, Vitales, Vitaceae. The record is from RefSeq and is a predicted model, not a curated record.